RNAcentral lists this long non-coding RNA (250 nucleotides) under Lathyrus oleraceus (garden pea). Its description in RNAcentral is "Pisum sativum (pea) long non-coding RNA (PSAT_LNC034700)". Lineage: Eukaryota; Viridiplantae; Streptophyta; Magnoliopsida; Fabales; Fabaceae. The record is from RNAcentral.
AACCUCAAACCCUGUGGCAUACACUCAAAAAUUAAACGGUUAAACAUUCAAGGCAUUGUUUAUACAUUCAUAUACAUAUUAAACCCAUGGGCAAAAACCUAAUGAAAUUCAUCCAUCAUACCUCAUACAUUCAGAUGAUCCAAAUUAAGAGCAUAAAGGUAAUGGGAAUAAGGGCAAACCUGAUUGGAGAGCUUGAUUGAUGUGAGGCAGAGGUGAUUCUAUGUAGUUGAGUUCCCUUCAGGGUUUGGAG